Molecule: ribosomal RNA, 377 nt
Filed under: uncultured Pseudobdellovibrionaceae bacterium
Lineage: Bacteria; Pseudomonadati; Bdellovibrionota; Bdellovibrionia; Bdellovibrionales; Pseudobdellovibrionaceae
Description: bacterial SSU rRNA
Rfam family: Bacterial small subunit ribosomal RNA
Source: RNAcentral
AUACGGAGGGUGCAAGCGUUGCUCGGAAUCACUGGGCGUAAAGCGUACGCAGGCGGCCAAUUAAGUUGGAUGUGAAAGCCCUGGGCUCAACCCGGGAACUGCAUUCAAAACUGGUUGGCUUGAGUGUGAGAGAGGGAAGUGGAAUUCCAGGUGUAGAGGUGAAAUUCGUUGAUAUCUGGAGGAACACCGGCGGCGAAGGCGGCUUCCUGGCUCACAACUGACGCUCAUGUACGAAAGCGUGGGUAGCAAACAGGAUUAGAUACCCUGGUAGUCCACGCCGUAAACGAUGUUUGCUAGGUGUUGGUGGAAUUCACCCCAUCAGUGCCGCAGUUAACGCAUUAAGCAAACCGCCUGGGGAGUACGGUCGCAAGAUUAAA